Molecule: ribosomal RNA, 377 nt
Filed under: uncultured bacterium
Lineage: Bacteria
Description: bacterial SSU rRNA
Rfam family: Bacterial small subunit ribosomal RNA
Source: RNAcentral
UAAUACGUAGGGGGCAAGCGUUGUCCGGAUUUAUUGGGCGUAAAGCGUCCGCAGGUGGUCAACCAAGUUUGGGGUGACAGUUCCCGGCUCAACUGGGAAAGUGCUUCGAAAACUGGCUGACUUGAGGGCUUGAGAGGAAAGCGGAAUUCCGGGUGGAGUGGUGAAAUGCGUAGAUAUCCGGAGGAACACCAAUGGCGUAGGCAGCUUUCUGGCAAGUACCUGACACUGAUGGACGAAAGCUAGGGGAGCAAACGGGAUUAGAUACCCCGGUAGUCCUAGCCGUAAACGAUGACCACUAGACGUGGGGGGUAUCGACCCCCUCUGUGUCGCAGUUAACACAUUAAGUGGUCCGCCUGGGGAGUACGGUCGCAAGAUUA